This is a non-coding RNA of Xyrichtys novacula (pearly razorfish), 433 nucleotides long. NCBI's taxonomy places the organism in Eukaryota, Metazoa, Chordata, Actinopteri, Labriformes, Labridae. The record is from the annotation of a GenBank genome assembly.
UAGACGCAUGUGGUCCACUCACAGUUUGCUUAGCACACAUCUGAGGUACUGGGCGAGUGGCAUUUUAGCCAAAAGAAAUGGUCUAUUCUACAGAAAUUCCUAUAACCAUUUAAAGUGGACAGUUAAAGCUAAUCUGAGACAGUCAGCCACAAAGAAUCAAGAUGGUAGUCGCAUGUGGUCCACUCACAGUUUGCUUAGCACACACUCUUGCUGAACAGUGAUUCAACUAAGGCAUAAUUUACCAAAUAAUGAAAUACAGGUCUAUUCUACAGAAAUUCCUCCCAUAACCAUUUAAAGUGGAGUUCUCAGUGGGAAAAAGCCAACAGCAAUCUUAAAUCUGAGAAACAGGCAGCCACAAGGAAUCAAUGUAGGCCGAUGGGAAGAACUGAGCAAGCGAAAAAAACAGGUAUGGAUUUCUAGGCGAGUAACAUCG